Long non-coding RNA from Passer domesticus (house sparrow), 239 nucleotides. RefSeq lists it as uncharacterized. The record is from RefSeq and is a predicted model, not a curated record. NCBI's taxonomy places the organism in Eukaryota, Metazoa, Chordata, Aves, Passeriformes, Passeridae. The transcript has 3 exons.
GCCAACAGACUGCUCACAGAUCCUGAUCAAGCAUAACAAAUUUUUGGCUGUUGGAACUGCAAAGCAGAGAUUUGUGUAUUUCCCUGUAAAGCACUGCUGUUUGAUGCUAAAAUGAAUGCUGGAAUUCCUGGAGGCUGAUUCCUGGGAACUCAUCCUGCAAAGAAAAAGAAUGGUUACAAACGAUAUAUUUUGUUUGGGUCUUUUAUAUUUUGAAUAUGUGUUUUCAAAUAAGAUGGGGG